UAGGGAAUCUUCCGCAAUGGGCGAAAGCCUGACGGAGCAACGCCGCGUGAGUGAUGAAGGUCUUCGGAUCGUAAAACUCUGUUAUUAGGGAAGAACAAAUGUGUAAGUAACUAUGCACGUCUUGACGGUACCUAAUCAGAAAGCCACGGCUAACUACGUGCCAGCAGCCGCGGUAAUACGUAGGUGGCAAGCGUUAUCCGGAAUUAUUGGGCGUAAAGCGCGCGUAGGCGGUUUUUUAAGUCUGAUGUGAAAGCCCACGGCUCAACCGUGGAGGGUCAUUGGAAGCUGGAAAACUUGGGUGCAGAAGAGGAAAGUGGAAUUCCAUGUGUAGCGGUGAAAUGCGCAGAGAUAUGGAGGAACACCAGUGGCGAAGGCGACUUUCUGGUCUGUAACUGACGCUGAUGUGCGAAAGCGUGGGGAUCAAACAGG
Molecule: ribosomal RNA, 429 nt
Filed under: Actinomycetes bacterium
Lineage: Bacteria; Bacillati; Actinomycetota; Actinomycetes
Description: Actinobacteria bacterium partial 16S ribosomal RNA
Rfam family: Bacterial small subunit ribosomal RNA
Source: RNAcentral